AUGAUGAGAGAUGUCCGAAGAUGCUCCUGCAGGAGAUGCUGUAGAGGACUGUAUUUUGGUUACCAUUGGAGAAAGACUUACCUGCCAGGCCUCCAAGUAUUCACAUAUGCGAUGGUCCAUCUUAUUCUCCUCAAUCCUUCCUUCCGUCCUUUCAUUCCAUCCCUAAUACCUCUUCUGAGGUUAAUCAAAAUUCCUUUCUUACUAUUGAAUAAAUGUAUAGUCC
RNAcentral lists this long non-coding RNA (223 nucleotides) under Monodelphis domestica (gray short-tailed opossum). RNAcentral's name for it is "lncRNA (ENSMODG00000031388.2)". The record is from RNAcentral. Lineage: Eukaryota; Metazoa; Chordata; Mammalia; Didelphimorphia; Didelphidae.